GUGCCAGCAGCUGCGGUAAUACGUAGGGGGCAAGCGUUGUCCGGAAUUAUUGGGCGUAAAGCGCGCGCAGGCGGCUCUUUAAGUCUGGUGUCUAAGUGCGGGGCUCAACCCCGUGACGCACUGGAAACUGGAGGGCUUGAGUGCAGAAGAGGAGAGCGGAAUUCCACGUGUAGCGGUGAAAUGCGUAGAGAUGUGGAGGAACACCAGUGGCGAAGGCGGCUCUCUGGACUGUAACUGACGCUGAGGCGCGAAAGCGUGGGGAGCAAACAGGAUUAGAUAACCCUGGUAGUCCACGCCGUAAACGAUGAGUGCGUAGGUGUU
This 321-nucleotide ribosomal RNA is filed under the name uncultured Cohnella sp. Its description in RNAcentral is "bacterial SSU rRNA". It matches the Rfam family "Bacterial small subunit ribosomal RNA", at positions 505 to 824 of the family's 1533-position model. Lineage: Bacteria; Bacillati; Bacillota; Bacilli; Caryophanales; Paenibacillaceae. The record is from RNAcentral.